GACUCCUUCGGGUUAUAGGGUCAAGCAAUGAAGCGCACACGGUGGAUGCCUAGGCAGCCAGAGGCGACGAAAGACGUGGCAGCCUGCGAUAAGGCUCGGCGAGGUGGCAAACAACCUGUGACCCGGGCAUUUCUGAAUGGGGAAACCCACUCAUCACAAGAUGAGUAUCGUGCACUGAAUACAUAGGUGUACGAGGCGAACCAGGGGAACUGAAACAUCUAAGUACCCUGAGGAAAAGAAAUCAACCGAGAUUCCCCUAGUAGCGGCGAGCGAACGGGGACCAGCCCUUAAGCGUGUGACUGAUUAGGCGAACGUGCUGGGAAGCACGGCCGUAGCGGGUGAUAGCCCCGUAGUCGAAAAUCUGAUCACGUGAAAUCGAGUAGGUCGGGGCACGAGAAACCUUGACUGAACAUGGGGGGACCAUCCUCCAAGGCUAAAUACUCCUGGCUGACCGAUAGUGAACCAGUACCGUGAGGGAAAGGCGAAAAGAACCCCGGAGAGGGGAGUGAAAUAGAUCCUGAAACCGUGUGCGUACAAGCAGUCGGAGCCCACUUGUUGGGUGACGGCGUACCUUUUGUAUAAUGGGUCAGCGACUUAUUUUCAGUGGCGAGGUUAACCGUAUAGGGGAGCCGUAGGGAAACCGAGUCUUAACUGGGCGCGCUAGUCGCUGGAAAUAGACCCGAAACCGGGCGAUCUAUCCAUGAGCAGGGUGAAGGUUGAGUAACAUCAACUGGAGGCCCGAACCAGGAUCUGUUGAAAAAGAUUUGGAUGACUUGUGGAUCGGAGUGAAAGGCUAAUCAAGCCCGGAGAUAGCUGGUUCUCCUCGAAAGCUAUUUAGGUAGCGCCUCAUGUAUCACCACCGGGGGUAGAGCACUGUUUCGGCUAGGGGGUCAUCCCGACUUACCAACCCGAGGCAAACUCCGAAUACCGGUGAGUGCAGCGUGGGAGACACACAGCGGGUGCUAACGUCCGUUGUGAAAAGGGAAACAACCCAGACCGUCAGCUAAGGUCCCCAAAUCCUGGUUAAGUGGGAAACGAUGUGGGAAGGCUCAGACAGCUAGGAGGUUGGCUUAGAAGCAGCCAUCCUUUAAAGAAAGCGUAAUAGCUCACUAGUCGAGUCGGCCUGCGCGGAAGAUGUAACGGGGCUAAACCAGGUACCGAAGCUACGGGUGUGUUCUUAGGAACACGCGGUAGAGGAGCGUCGUGUACGCCGAUGAAGGUGGAUUGAGAAGUCUGCUGGAGGUAUCACGAGUGCGAAUGCUGACAUGAGUAACGAUAAAGGGCGUGAAAAACGCCCUCGCCGGAAGACCAAGGGUUUCUGUUCGACGCUAAUCGGAGCAGAGUGAGUCGGCCCCUAAGGCGAGGCCGAAAGGCGUAGUCGAUGGGAAACGGGUCAAUAUUCCCGUACCGGACAUGAUUGCGAUGGGGGGACGGAGAAGGCUAGGUGGGCCAGGCGUUGGUUGUCCUGGUGAAAGUGAGUAGGCUGAGGGUCUAGGCAAAUCCGGAUCCUUAAGGCCGAGACACGAGAUGAACUGACCACGGUCAGGAAGUCACUGAUGCCACGCUUCCAGGAAAAGCCUCUAAGCUUCAGAUCAUGUGCGACCGUACCCCAAACCGACACAGGUGGUCAGGGAG
RNAcentral lists this ribosomal RNA (1635 nucleotides) under Vreelandella rituensis. RNAcentral's name for it is "bacterial LSU rRNA". It matches the Rfam family "Bacterial large subunit ribosomal RNA", at positions 1 to 1674 of the family's 2925-position model. Lineage: Bacteria; Pseudomonadati; Pseudomonadota; Gammaproteobacteria; Oceanospirillales; Halomonadaceae. The record is from RNAcentral.